RNAcentral lists this ribosomal RNA (119 nucleotides) under Pteropus alecto (black flying fox). The record is from RNAcentral. Lineage: Eukaryota; Metazoa; Chordata; Mammalia; Chiroptera; Pteropodidae.
GUCUUCAGCCAUGCCACCUUGAACGUGCUCGAUCUUGUCUGAUCUCGGAAGCUAAGCAGGGUCAGACCUGGUUAGUGCUUGGAUGAGAGACCACCUAGGAAGACGAGGUGCUGUAGGUG